Molecule: transfer RNA, 69 nt
Filed under: Urocitellus parryii (Arctic ground squirrel)
Lineage: Eukaryota; Metazoa; Chordata; Mammalia; Rodentia; Sciuridae
Also listed under: 1 other name
Description: Spermophilus parryii (Arctic ground squirrel) tRNA
Rfam family: tRNA
About the family: Transfer RNA (tRNA) molecules are approximately 80 nucleotides in length. Their secondary structure includes four short double-helical elements and three loops (D, anti-codon, and T loops). Further hydrogen bonds mediate the characteristic L-shaped molecular structure. tRNAs have two regions of fundamental functional importance: the anti-codon, which is responsible for specific mRNA codon recognition, and the 3' end, to which the tRNAs corresponding amino acid is attached (by aminoacyl-tRNA synthetases). tRNAs cope with the degeneracy of the genetic code in two manners: having more than one tRNA (with a specific anti-codon) for a particular amino acid; and 'wobble' base-pairing, i.e. permitting non-standard base-pairing at the 3rd anti-codon position.
Source: Rfam by way of RNAcentral
GGUGUAGCUCAGUGGUAGAGAGUCUGCCUGGCAUGCAUGAGGCUCUGGGUUUAAUCCCCAGGACCACCU